This 221-nucleotide unclassified non-coding RNA is filed under the name Hevea brasiliensis (rubber tree). The record is from RNAcentral. Lineage: Eukaryota; Viridiplantae; Streptophyta; Magnoliopsida; Malpighiales; Euphorbiaceae.
GGCAUUGAAUUCGUCAAGUGUGAAAAUGAUUGGUCUUGCUGUGGCGAUAAUCAACUUCCCUUGAGUUUUCUGUUCUGGGCACCUUCAUUACUAUGCAUAAUUACUUUGCUUUAGCAACUAAUUGCAUAAAAAUGUUGCUCAUUUGUUGUAUAUUUUGCUUGUUUAGGUACAUGUUUGUGGUAUCGAUGGUAAGAUGUUCCAUCACAGCUUGAAUUCAUUCU